This 520-nucleotide ribosomal RNA is filed under the name uncultured Glomus. RNAcentral describes it as "SSU rRNA". It matches the Rfam family "Eukaryotic small subunit ribosomal RNA", at positions 569 to 1087 of the family's 1831-position model. Lineage: Eukaryota; Fungi; Glomeromycota; Glomeromycetes; Glomerales; Glomeraceae. The record is from RNAcentral.
AGCAGCCGCGGUAAUUCCAGCUCCAAUAGCGUAUAUUAAAGUUGUUGCAGUUAAAAAGCUCGUAGUUGAAUUUCGGGAUCAAAUUGUCGGUCGUGCCUCGGUACGUACUGGUAUUAUUGGUUCCUCCCUUCUGACGAACCACGAUGUCAUUAAUUUGGUGUCAUGGGGAAAUCAGGACUGUUACUUUGAAAAAAUUAGAGUGUCUAAAGCAGGCUCGCGCUUGAAUACAUUAGCAUGGAAUAAUGAAAUAGGACGUUUGAUUCUAUUUUGUUGGUUUCUAGGAUCGACGUAAUGAUUAAUAGGGAUAGUUGGGGGGCAUUAGUAUUCAAUUGUCAGAGGUGAAAUUCUUGGAUUUAUUGAAGACUAACUACUGCGAAAGCAUUUGCCAAGGAUGUUUUUCAUUAAUCAAGAACGAAAGUUAGGGGAUCGAAGACGAUCAGAUACCGUCGUAGUCUUAACCAUAAACUAUGCCGACUAGGGAUCGGAUGAUGUUAAUUUUUUUAAUGACUCAUUCGGCGCC